This is a long non-coding RNA of Dipodomys ordii (Ord's kangaroo rat), 378 nucleotides long. RefSeq lists it as uncharacterized. Lineage: Eukaryota; Metazoa; Chordata; Mammalia; Rodentia; Heteromyidae. The transcript has 3 exons. The record is from RefSeq and is a predicted model, not a curated record.
CUUAUCAUCUUCUAGCUCUGAAAGAUGAUGCAGAAUUUUUUGUUUCAGAAGAACUGACUAUGUUGUGCGGCCCAGCACAGGGGAGGAGAAACGAGUUUUUCAGGAGCAGGAACGUUAUAGGUACAGUCAACCCCAUAAGGCAUUCACUUUUCGCAUGCAUGGCUUUGAGUCUGUGGUGGGGCCAGUAAAGGGCGUGUUUGACAAGGAGACCUCCCUCAACAAGGCUCGAGAGCAUUCACUGCUGCGCUCUGAUCGGCCUGCCUAUGUCACCAUCCUGUCUCUUGUUCGGGAUGCUGCUGCUAGGCUACCUAAUGGAGAAGGCACUCGGGCAGAGAUCUGUGAACUCCUCAAAGAUUCCCAGUUCCUUGCAUCAGAUGU